Molecule: long non-coding RNA, 2567 nt
Organism: Carassius auratus (goldfish)
Lineage: Eukaryota; Metazoa; Chordata; Actinopteri; Cypriniformes; Cyprinidae
Source: Ensembl
GAUUGUUUGCAGAUAAUGCUGUUCAAGCUCAACAGCUCUUUUAAGAGCUAACCCUCACAAACCUUCCUAAAAACUAAAAGAGCUAUUACUGAGUCUCAGCGAAUCUUGCCAUGAUCAGCUCUUCCAGGUACAUUUGUUUAAAAUAUUUUUGAAUCAACAUUUACUCAUCAAAUGCUCUGGUCUGAAUCUUAUUUUAAAUUAACUUAAUUAUAUGUUUAAUGAGCAAUGUUAAUUGCACACAGAGUAAGAUUAUCUUGUUUUUCAGAAGAGAAGGAAGACCAAGGAAAUGAUUUGCUCAUGAGGAAUGAAGAUGGCCAUCUUGAGCCCAAACAAAGACAGAAGUCCUCUGAUGAUCUCAUCAGCCAAAUGAGGGGUUUUGACCAAGUGAUGCUCUUGAAAGGACUGAAAGAAGAGGAUGUGGUAAAUUGUCUUCAGAGAAAAACCUUCUCAAAAGGUCUCAAAACAGCUUGAAGAAUGGUCUGGGAUCUUAGGACUGAGAGAUCCUCUGGCUGAGAAAAGGCUACACCACAUCAGUGCUGGAUAUCAACCACAAACAGUUUCCAGACAUGAGAGAAGAAGAACACGAUGGGGAGAUGAAACCAGUUUAGAUGUGAUGAUGGGAAUCAUUAUUUUCUGGAACAGUAUCACAUGUCUUAAAUGUAUCACAUGAUCUGUAUCACAGUUGACUGGAUGGAUUAUUUUUACUUUUAAGGACAUUUCAUCACUCAUCUGUGUGAACUGAUUAAUUUAUGAUAUUAAUGAAUUUUUGAUCCUUUAUUAUUUUCCUUGAACUGUGUUUGUCUUGAAGCUACUUUAUCAACUUCAUAGUCUAUGCUUCAAUAAAAUUAAUAUGGUGAAUAUUGUGUGUUGAAAAUUCUUGGUAAAUUCAUAAUUUUACUAGAUACUGUAGGCUACUAUGGGUUUAUUCUACACUUGAAAAACUACAUAUUAAUUACCAGGAUUAUUUUUUGCUUAAACAUUAAUGACAUCUGGAACAACAAUACACCAGAAAGUUAGUAUUGUAUAUAUUUAAUCACAAAUAUGCCUAUAUAUAUAUCUAUAUAAAGGGAUUUACUAGAUGAAUUAUUUUGAAAAGCCAUUUACUUUAUAGUUACAAACACUUGAGGGAUAACUGAGAGUAGCAGGAAUGAUCAACAUGGAUCUUGUACUGCAUUAAAUCCAAGAGCACGCACAUUACUGAUGUUCAGCAUCUGAGGACCCAGAUAAGGGGGUGAGGAGGACAUUUUUACACUGAUUGUUGCUAAUUAGUUAAUAUAUAUAGUAUUCUGAGUACUCCAUUAAUUAUUCCUUGUGGAAUAGUGAAGUAUCACAAUGUGUAUAAAUUGUCCUUGAUUAUUGCUUAACAGUGGGGAAUAGAUAAUGGCAUGUUGUUGCAGGUUUAUCCAUUAUAUUUAUUACUGUUAACUUCAAAAAUAAAAUAAAUAAUCUAUAAUUUUUAUUAUUAAAUCAUUUCUUUCUAAUUUUGCCAUGUUUCAUCAGAUGGCCUCACCAUGUCCUGUCAAAAGCUUUACUGCUCAUGACAUAAGAAUAAGAAAAGGUUAGUCUAUGAAAACUGUCAGAUAUAAAUGUGACUCAGCUCAGUUUGUUGUCCAUUAUGAGGAGAAUACAUACAUGUAGGUUUUACUGCCCUUCUACCCCCAGGGGCCCAGUAGCACCCCCCGGAAGAGCCAAAAACUGUACAUUUGAAAUGGCUGUAAAUCAGAGUCCAAUUAAUGAAUCAAAGAGAAAACCAGAAGAAUUUUUACUUAUGCUAUGCUGAUAAAAUAAUGUCGGGCACAGUUUUCAGAAAUAAAUGGAAAUGUUUCAUAAAGCCAUUUUAAAUAUUGCUCCCUCUAAAAUACCAAAUUUCACUCUGUCUUUCAAUUAUAUCAUAGAGGUUUACACAAUGAAACUAUUCAUAUAUCCAGUUUUCCAUUAAAUAUAUUAUUUAUUUCAUUUCGUCAAUAAAACGAUUUAAACUACAUUACCCACAAGCCUCCGUCGUUCUAUAUAUGGAAAGGCGAAACUAGGGGCUGUUUUUUGUAGUUCAUCGAAGUUAUGAUUAGGGUUAGGGUUAGGAUCUCGCUAAAGAGGUAAUUUUCCUCAACAUAGCAACCCUUAAUUGUUGACUUAAUAUAUUACUAAUGUGAUAAUAGUAGCAAAACGUACUUUUGUAACACGAUGCGCUGUUUAGUAUGGGUUAAAGGAUAGUCCAACCACAGACAACCCUGCGAUGACAAGGGACAUUGACAGCCAAUGAUAUCAAAGCUGAGCAGGGGCGUCACGCUUCCUUAUCCAUUUAUGACCGAUGACUUUCGUUUUUCGGCUGAAGGGAUAGAUUGGUUAACAAUCAAUAACAUUUGCUACCUAUUAGAUUGUGUUUUAUUAACGUCUACACCUUCCUCCAACAAUAAUGCAAAUGCGCUAAUUAUUGUUUUCAGCUUGACAAAAAUUGGGCAAUAUUGAUGAGCACAUGGCCAGCAUUCGCAGUUCUAUCGAACCGAUUCCUCUCAUUAAAUCUUUUUUUUUUUUCAAAGACAGGUGCAUUUUCUAAUCAAAUGAUUAGC